This 1331-nucleotide ribosomal RNA is filed under the name uncultured bacterium. Its description in RNAcentral is "partial 16S ribosomal RNA". It matches the Rfam family "Bacterial small subunit ribosomal RNA", at positions 156 to 1461 of the family's 1533-position model. The record is from RNAcentral.
ACGACUGCUAAUACCGCAUACGUCCUACGGGAGAAAGCAGGGGAUCUUCGGACCUUGCGCUAUCGGAUGAGCCCAUGUCGGAUUAGCUUGUUGGUGAGGUAAUGGCUCACCAAGGCGACGAUCCGUAGCUGGUCUGAGAGGAUGAUCAGCCACACUGGGACUGAGACACGGCCCAGACUCCUACGGGAGGCAGCAGUGGGGAAUAUUGGACAAUGGGCGAAAGCCUGAUCCAGCCAUGCCGCGUGUGUGAAGAAGGCCUUCGGGUUGUAAAGCACUUUCAGCGAGGAAGAACGCCUUGGGAUUAAUACUCUCGAGGAAAGACAUCACUCGCAGAAGAAGCACCGGCUAACUCCGUGCCAGCAGCCGCGGUAAUACGGAGGGUGCAAGCGUUAAUCGGAAUUACUGGGCGUAAAGCGCGCGUAGGUGGCUAAGUCAGCCAGGUGUGAAAGCCCCGGGCUCAACCUGGGAACGGCAUCUGGAACUGCUUGGCUAGAGUGCAGGAGAGGAAGGUAGAAUUCCCGGUGUAGCGGUGAAAUGCGUAGAGAUCGGNGAGGAAUACCAGNUGGCGAAGGCGGCCUUCUGGACUGACACUGACACUGAGGUGCGAAAGCGUGGGUAGCAAACAGGUAUUAGAUACCCUGGNUAGUCCACGCCCNUAAACGAUGAAUGUUAGUCGUCGGGUAGCUAGUCUAUUCGGUGAUGCAGCUAACGCAUUAAACAUUCCGCCUGGGGAGUACGGUCGCAAGAUUAAAACUCAAAGGAAUAGACGGGGACCCNGCACNAAGUGGUGGAGCAUGUGGUUUAAUUCGAAGAUACGCGAAGAACCUUACCUAGCCUUGACAUAUUAAAGAACANCUUUNAGAGAUANGAGUGGUGCCUUCGGGAGCNUUUUNAUANCNAGGUGCUGCACGGCUGUCNGUNCAGCUCGUGNUCGUGAGANUGUUNGGGNUUAAGUCCCGCAACGAGCGCAACCNCUCNNGUCACUNAGUUNACNUAACNGGUUCNGGCCGAGGACUCUAGUGAGACUGCCUUCGCAAGGAGGAGGAAGGUGAGGACGACGUCAAGUCAUCAUGGCCCUUACGGCUAGGGCAACACACGUGCUACAAUGGCCAGGACAAUGAGAAGCGAUACCGCGAGGUGGAGCAAAUCUAUAAACCUGGUCUCAGUUCGGAUAGCAGUCUGCAACUCGACUGCUUGAAGCUGGAAUCACUAGUAAUCGUAGAUCAGCUAUGCUACGGUGAAUACGUUCCCGGGUCUUGUACUCACCGCCCGUCACACCAUGGGAGUUGAUUUCACCCGAAGCGGGGAAGCUAAACUGGCUACCCUCCACG